Molecule: ribosomal RNA, 493 nt
Filed under: uncultured bacterium
Lineage: Bacteria
Description: bacterial SSU rRNA
Rfam family: Bacterial small subunit ribosomal RNA
Source: RNAcentral
ACUCAAAUGAAUUGACGGGGCCCCGCACAAGCAGUGGAGCAUGUGGUUUAAUUCGACGCUACGCGAAGAACCUUACCAGGACUUGACAUGGAAUUAAAGACCCUAGAAAUAGGGGGAUAGUCAUAGUUCACACAGGUGGUGCAUGGUUGUCGUCAGCUCGUGUCGUGAGAUGUUAGGUUAAGUCCUGCAACGAGCGCAACCCUCGUCCUUAGUUACCAUCAUUCAGUUGGGGACUCUAAGGAGACUGCCGAUGUAAAUCGGAGGAAGGUGGGGAUGACGUCAAAUCAUCAUGCCCUUUACGUCCUGGGCGACACACGUGCUACAAUGGCCGGUACAAAGAGAAGCAAUACCGCGAGGUGGAGCUAAUCCCAUAAAGCCGGUCUCAGUUCAGAUUGAAGUCUGCAACUCGACUUCAUGAAGUCGGAAUUGCUAGUAAUCGCAGAUCAGCCAUGCUGCGGUGAAUACGUUCCCGGGGCUUGCACACACCGCCCGU